Small nuclear RNA from Suricata suricatta (meerkat), 104 nucleotides. Lineage: Eukaryota; Metazoa; Chordata; Mammalia; Carnivora; Herpestidae. The record is from Ensembl.
GUGCUCGCAUUGGCCUCCCAUAUACUGAUACUGGAACAAUAUAGAGAAGAUUAGUGCACCCCCAGCACAAGGAUGACAUGCAAAUUCUUUAUCUUCAUCUUUAU